This 108-nucleotide small nuclear RNA is filed under the name Propithecus coquereli (Coquerel's sifaka). Lineage: Eukaryota; Metazoa; Chordata; Mammalia; Primates; Indriidae. The record is from RNAcentral.
GUGCUCAGUUUGGUAGCACAUAAACUAAAAAUUGGAAUGAUACAGAGAAGAUUAAGAUGACCCCUGCACAAAGAUGACAUACAAAUCUGUGAAGUGUUUCAUAUUUUU